RNAcentral lists this ribosomal RNA (483 nucleotides) under uncultured bacterium. RNAcentral's name for it is "partial 16S ribosomal RNA". It matches the Rfam family "Bacterial small subunit ribosomal RNA", at positions 29 to 507 of the family's 1533-position model. The record is from RNAcentral.
AUUGAACGCUGGCGGCAUGCUUUACACAUGCAAGUCGAACGGCAGCGCGGGCUUCGGCCUGGCAGCGAGUGGCGAACGGGUGAGUAAUACAUCGGAACGUGCCCAGUAGUGGGGGAUAGCUCGGCGAAAGCCGGAUUAAUACCGCAUACGACCUGAGGGUGAAAGCGGGGGAUCUUCGGACCUCGCGCUAUUGGAGCGGCCGAUGGCAGAUUAGCUAGUUGGUGGGGUAAAGGCCUACCAAGGCGACGAUCUGUAGCUGGUCUGAGAGGACGACCAGCCACACUGGGACUGAGACACGGCCCAGACUCCUACGGGAGGCAGCAGUGGGGAAUUUUGGACAAUGGGCGAAAGCCUGAUCCAGCAAUGCCGCGUGUGUGAUGAAGGCCUUCGGGUUUAAAGCACUUUUGGCGGGAACGAAAAGGACUGUGCCAAUACCACGGUUCGAUGACGGUACCCGCAGAAUAAGCACCGGCUAACUACGUG